AUUGAACGCUGGCGGCAUGCCUUACACAUGCAAGUCGCACGGCAGCACGGGUGCUUGCACCUGGUGGCGAGUGGCGAACGGGUGAGUAAUACAUCGGAACGUACCUUAUCGUGGGGGAUAACGCAGCGAAAGCUGUGCUAAUACCGCAUACGCCCUGAGGGGGAGAGCGGGGGAUCGCAAGACCUCGCGCGAUUAGACCGGCCGAUGCCUGAUUAGCUUGUUGGUGGGGUAAAAGCCCUCCAAGGCGACGAUCAGUAGCGGGUCUGCGAGGACGACCAGCCACACUGGAACUGAGACACGGUCCAGACACGUACGGGUGGCAGCAGGCGAGAAUUUUUCACAAUGGGCGAAAGCCUGAUGGAGCGACGCCGCGUGGGGGAUGAAUGGCUUCGGCCCGUAAACCCCUGUCAUUCGCGAUCAACCGUUGUUAUUUAAAAGAUGACAGCCUGAUAGUAGCGGAAGAGGAAGGGACGGCUAACUCUGUGCCAGCAGCCGCGGUAA
Molecule: ribosomal RNA, 501 nt
Filed under: uncultured bacterium
Lineage: Bacteria
Description: partial 16S ribosomal RNA
Rfam family: Bacterial small subunit ribosomal RNA
Source: RNAcentral